Molecule: long non-coding RNA, 820 nt
Filed under: Jatropha curcas
Lineage: Eukaryota; Viridiplantae; Streptophyta; Magnoliopsida; Malpighiales; Euphorbiaceae
Description: long non-coding RNA (JCUR_LNC003589)
Source: RNAcentral
UAAAAGUAUAACAGAAAUUGCAAGAUAUGCCAGCCCUUAAAAUCCUCUUGCUUGCAUUGUUACAGAUACUAUGUCAUAUCAGUACCAAGAUUUUCCUGUUACACAAAGAAUUUGAAUGACAAAUGCCCUUGUAUAUUGCUCAACAUUUAAUAUUCAUUUUCCUAUAUUUUUUGUUAUAAACAAAAUCACCAGAUAGUACAAGCAUGUAGCAUUAAACAUGAGAACAAGUGCUAACGAAAAUGAUACAGCUGCAAAAUGACGCAUGAUCAAAAAGUGCAGCUUAAAAGUCGAUGUUGUACGGAUGGGGAUAAUCUUUUAAUGAUCUUCCUCGUAUCUCGUAUAUUCCAAUCGCAAGUGUUACACACAUUUUAUAUUACCUAAAAAGGUGCUACAUUCUCAGCUUAGCAUUAGUCCCGGCAAUUACUGUGACAAGAAUUUCAAUUGCCUUUAAGGAAGCCCCAGAGUAAAAAAUUAUAUAUACAACAGACAUUGGAUAACCUAAAAAUAUAAAGCCAAGUAAUUGAAUAUGUCACCUCUCCAACAUCCCAACCAUUCAAAAAUUCAUUCAUCACUUUCCCAUGCUUAAGUUCAUAUAAGUUUAUUUGGAGUGUCCUUCUGCAGCUUCAAUAACAACUGCUUUUACUUUUAACAUAUUUAUUUAGCAUCAAUAGCAACUUAUGCAUAAGCUCUGCCACAUAUUUUUAAAUGAUUUCACAGUUAGCAACGACCUCAUGGUAGUAGUUACUAGACAUUCACUAUUCUUCUAUGACAGUACGUGUGACUCAUAACAUGGCCUAGUCAGUUAGAUAGAGACUAUAAA